ACUUAAAUUGAAGAGUUUGAUCAUGGCUCAGAUUGAACGCUGGCGGCAGGCCUAACACAUGCAAGUCGAGCGGUAGCACAGAGAGCUUGCUCUCGGGUGACGAGCGGCGGACGGGUGAGUAAUGUCUGGGAAACUGCCUGAUGGAGGGGGAUAACUACUGGAAACGGUAGCUAAUACCGCAUAACGUCGCAAGACCAAAGUGGGGGACCUUCGGGCCUCAUGCCAUCAGAUGUGCCCAGAUGGGAUUAGCUAGUAGGUGGGGUAACGGCUCACCUAGGCGACGAUCCCUAGCUGGUCUGAGAGGAUGACCAGCCACACUGGAACUGAGACACGGUCCAGACUCCUACGGGAGGCAGCAGUGGGGAAUAUUGCACAAUGGGCGCAAGCCUGAUGCAGCCAUGCCGCGUGUGUGAAGAAGGCCUUCGGGUUGUAAAGCACUUUCAGCGGGGAGGAAGGCGUUAAGGUUAAUAACCUUAGCGAUUGACGUUACCCGCAGAAGAAGCACCGGCUAACUCCGUGCCAGCAGCCGCGGUAAUACGGAGGGUGCAAGCGUUAAUCGGAAUUACUGGGCGUAAAGCGCACGCAGGCGGUCUGUCAAGUCGGAUGUGAAAUCCCCAGGCUCAACCUGGGAACUGCAUUCGAAACUGGCAGGCUAGAGUCUUGUAGAGGGGGGUAGAAUUCCAGGUGUAGCGGUGAAAUGCGUAGAGAUCUGGAGGAAUACCGGUGGCGAAGGCGGCCCCCUGGACAAAGACUGACGCUCAGGUGCGAAAGCGUGGGGAGCAAACAGGAUUAGAUACCCUGGUAGUCCACGCCGUAAACGAUGUCGAUUUGGAGGUUGUGCCCUUGAGGCGUGGCUUCCGGAGCUAACGCGUUAAAUCGACCGCCUGGGGAGUACGGCCGCAAGGUUAAAACUCAAAUGAAUUGACGGGGGCCCGCACAAGCGGUGGAGCAUGUGGUUUAAUUCGAUGCAACGCGAAGAACCUUACCUGGUCUUGACAUCCACAGAACUUUCCAGAGAUGGAUUGGUGCCUUCGGGAACUGUGAGACAGGUGCUGCAUGGCUGUCGUCAGCUCGUGUUGUGAAAUGUUGGGUUAAGUCCCGCAACGAGCGCAACCCUUAUCCUUUGUUGCCAGCGGUCCGGCCGGGAACUCAAAGGAGACUGCCAGUGAUAAACUGGAGGAAGGUGGGGAUGACGUCAAGUCAUCAUGGCCCUUACGACCAGGGCUACACACGUGCUACAAUGGCAUAUACAAAGAGAAGCGACCUCGCGAGAGCAAGCGGACCUCAUAAAGUAUGUCGUAGUCCGGAUUGGAGUCUGCAACUCGACUCCAUGAAGUCGGAAUCGCUAGUAAUCGUAGAUCAGAAUGCUACGGUGAAUACGUUCCCGGGCCUUGUACACACCGCCCGUCACACCAUGGGAGUGGGUUGCAAAAGAAGUAGGUAGCUUAACCUUCGGGAGGGCGCUUACCACUUUGUGAUUCAUGACUGGGGUGAAGUCGUAACAAGGUAACCGUAGGGGAACCUGCGGUUGGAUCACCUCCUUACCUUAAAGAA
This 1554-nucleotide ribosomal RNA is filed under the name Klebsiella pneumoniae. Its description in RNAcentral is "bacterial SSU rRNA". It matches the Rfam family "Bacterial small subunit ribosomal RNA". Lineage: Bacteria; Pseudomonadati; Pseudomonadota; Gammaproteobacteria; Enterobacterales; Enterobacteriaceae. The record is from RNAcentral.